Molecule: RNA transcript, 1919 nt
Organism: Pteropus alecto (black flying fox)
Lineage: Eukaryota; Metazoa; Chordata; Mammalia; Chiroptera; Pteropodidae
Gene: ATP6V1C1
Gene name: ATPase H+ transporting V1 subunit C1
Exons: 14
Source: RefSeq, a predicted model, not a curated record
GCGCGCGCGUAGGCGGAGCAGCGCGCGACCCGGUCAGCUGACUGCUUGGGUUGGCACGUGACUUGCUCCGUCCGCCCUGGGGUCGAGGAAGCCGUGAAGCCGGAGCUUAGGUCGCGGAGGCAUGGAGCGCUGAGCCGUUAACGUCUGCCAGGCUGUCCGCCUCCGUACCUAUUACUGCUGUCAUUUCCUCGUUUGACACCUUCCAGGUGUCUCUCUUGAUUUGGGAAGAAAUACCUAGUAACAAACAUGACUGAGUUCUGGCUUAUAUCAGCUCCUGGAGAGAAAACAUGUCAGCAAACAUGGGAGAAAUUGCAUGCGGCAACUACAAAGAACAAUAAUCUUGCUAUUACUUCAAAGUUCAACAUUCCUGACUUAAAGGUUGGCACACUAGAUGUCUUGGUUGGUUUGUCGGACGAACUGGCUAAACUGGAUGCAUUUGUAGAAGGGGUCGUUAAGAAGGUGGCUCAAUAUAUGGCUGAUGUAUUGGAGGAUAGUAAAGAUAAAGUUCAGGAGAAUCUGUUGGCCAGUGGAGUUGACUUGGUUACUUAUAUAACACGAUUUCAGUGGGACAUGGCUAAAUAUCCAAUCAAGCAGUCCCUGAAAAAUAUUUCUGAAAUAAUUGCCAAGGGAGUGACUCAGAUUGACAAUGACCUGAAAUCUCGAGCAUCCGCAUAUAAUAACCUGAAAGGGAAUCUUCAGAACUUGGAACGAAAGAAUGCAGGAAGUUUGCUAACUCGAAGUCUAGCAGAAAUCGUGAAGAAGGAUGACUUUGUUCUCGAUUCAGAGUAUCUCGUCACAUUACUGGUCGUAGUUCCCAAGUUAAACCACAACGACUGGAUUAAGCAGUAUGAAACACUAGCUGAAAUGGUAGUUCCAAGGUCUAGCAAUGUUCUCUCAGAAGACCAAGAUAGUUACCUUUGUAAUGUCACCUUGUUUAGGAAGGCAGUUGAUGACUUCAGACACAAAGCCAGGGAAAACAAAUUUAUCGUUCGUGACUUCCAGUAUAAUGAAGAGGAGAUGAAAGCAGAUAAAGAAGAAAUGAACAGGCUUUCUACUGACAAGAAAAAGCAAUUUGGACCACUUGUGCGGUGGCUGAAAGUGAAUUUCAGCGAAGCAUUUAUUGCAUGGAUUCAUGUGAAAGCAUUAAGGGUUUUUGUUGAGUCUGUUUUAAGGUAUGGCUUACCAGUGAACUUCCAAGCAAUGCUACUUCAGCCCAAUAAGAAAACAAUGAAGAAACUGAGAGAAGUAUUAUAUGAAUUGUAUAAACAUCUAGACAGCAGUGCAGCUGCUAUUAUUGAUGCACCUAUGGAUAUUCCAGGCUUAAACCUGAGUCAACAGGAAUACUACCCGUAUGUGUACUACAAGAUUGAUUGCAACUUGCUGGAAUUCAAGUAAAAAUGAGCUCCUCCCAGACAAUCCUGUCCUUGUGUUGGUAUAUGCUAACAAAUAGGCUACAGUAUGACAGUACUUUUAAUUCUCUAUUAUCCUUUGCUUGCUUCUGACCCCUUUUCCUAGGUGAAUUCUCCCAUUGUGGUCCAUUUCUAAACUUUUUGUUUUUAAAGGAAAAUCUGUGUCUUAUUUCUUUUUAUUGAUCAGGUCUGUAAAUGUGUACUAAAAAAAUCAGAGUCUAUUUAUAAACAAUAGUUUAUUUAAAGAGGUCUUUCCUCAUCGAUAUUGUGGUAUGCAUAAUUCUUUUUGUUACUAUUGUGCACAAAAGCCUUGUUUACAAGGGAAUGGUGUAAACAUUUAUACCAUUUUGGUCACUGUAUUUAGUAGACAUAACUGUUUAAUAGUUACUGAAUCGUGAUGUAAAGAAAUGUGACAAUAUUCAGGUAUGUCUUUUCUGAAUGUUUCAAAUUACAAUCUAUGAGCACUGUUGACACCCACAGGAGAGAAUAAAAUUACCUGUGCAAAGACGA